This is a long non-coding RNA of Enhydra lutris kenyoni (northern sea otter), 1174 nucleotides long. RefSeq lists it as uncharacterized. The record is from RefSeq and is a predicted model, not a curated record. NCBI's taxonomy places the organism in Eukaryota, Metazoa, Chordata, Mammalia, Carnivora, Mustelidae. The transcript is spliced from 2 exons.
GCGUGUCUCCUGGCCCAACCGGCGGCGCGCUGCAGAGCCAGAGGCAGCUGGGCAUCCCUGCCAGCUUCCGACCCCGACCAGGGGGACAGAGGGGGACAGCGACCGCGCUCCCUGGGGACCGAGGGGGACCAUCUGGCAAAUGCCCCGUGGGCGCAGGCACCUCACCGGGGCACUGGGUGGACGCGGUCUGGGCACGCGGGGCGGGGCCGGCGGUUCCGUCCAGCAAGCGCAGGUCAAGGUCCUGCCCGUGGGGGGCCGCCGUCGGGAAUAGGCUCCCGGUCUCCCUGCCCUCGGCUCGCAGGUACCCUCAGGGCACCCGGCGUGUCCAGCGUCCUGGGCCUCCGGAAGUGACUGCGGACCCCGGGCUGACCACCUCCGCCGCGCGCUCAGGGGCAGAAAAAGAAAAGAUGCGUUUAUUUACUCAUGAGAGACGGAGAGAGCCUGUGAACAGGGGAGGGAGAGGGAGAGGACCUGAAGCCGUGGCCGGCUGAGCGCCAGCCCAGGGAUGCUGAGGCCUCUCAGGACCCUGAGGUCGCGCGACCUGAGCGGAAACCAGCCAUCCAGCGCUCCCGGGACUGCCCUGCCCAAGUGCCGCUCCACUCUGUCUCCUGCAACCCAGGAAUGGAUCCCAACUUUGGUGAUCUCUGCGCGGUGACCACAGGGCCACGCCACACGUGGCAUUGUGCCACUUGGGGUGAUCCGUUUCUCUUUCUCGAUGACUGAGCCUACCCAGGGCACUGACCCGUAGUCCUGUGCUCAUCCCGCACUCAGCGUGUGGAGGACACGAGAUCCUCGUGGAGGGUAAUACCCGAACGCAGCGACUCCACGAAGAGAAGGUCCUGGUCUCGGGACAGAAAGGCAUCGAAGGCCUUGCCCAAAGAGCCUAAAUAUCCCGUACAACAGUAGGAGUCUCCUCCCUCUCGGCUGUGGGGCCAGAAGUCCAAAAUCAGGGUGCCGCAGGGCCACACUCCCUCUCCAGGCUCUAGUGGGGUCCUUCCUGCCUCCUCCAGCAUCUGGUGCAUGACAGGGCCCAUGGGGGUCCUCAGAUCACAGCUCAGGCCAGGCUCUGGCCCUUCGGUCCUGCCCCUCCUGGGUUGGCCUUCUCUUCUGCUCAGGGCAGUCACUGGGCCAAGGCCAGCGUGACAGCCUGUGUAAAAAAAAAAAAAAAAAGGGG